AACGAACGCUGGCGGCAUGCCUAACACAUGCCAGUCGAACGAAGGCUUCGGCCUUAGUGGCGCACGGGUGCGUAACGCGUGGGAAUCUGCCCUUUGGUUCGGAAUAACAGCUGGAAACGGCUGCUAAUACCGGAUGAUGACGAAAGUCCAAAGAUUUAUCGCCAGAGGAUGAGCCCGCGUUGGAUUAGGUAGUUGGUGGGGUAAAGGCCUACCAAGUCGACGAUCCAUAGCUGGUCUGAGAGGAUGAUCAGCCACACUGGGACUGAGACACGGCCCAGACUCCUACGGGAGGCAGCAGUGGGGAAUAUUGGACAACGGGCGCAAGCCUGAUCCAGCAAUGCCGCGUGAGUGAUGAAGGCCCUAGGGUUGUAAAGCUCUUUUACCCGGGAAGAUAAUGACUGUACCGGGAGAAUAAGCCCCGGCUAACUCCGUG
Molecule: ribosomal RNA, 433 nt
Filed under: uncultured bacterium
Lineage: Bacteria
Description: partial 16S ribosomal RNA
Rfam family: Bacterial small subunit ribosomal RNA
Source: RNAcentral